UGUGCUAUACAUGCAAGUCGAACGCGUUGGCCCAAUUGAUUGAUGGUGCUUGCACCUGAUUGAUUUUGGUCGCCAACGAGUGGCGGACGGGUGAGUAACACGUAGGUAACCUGCCCAGAAGCGGGGGACAACAUUUGGAAACAGAUGCUAAUACCGCAUAACAGCGUUGUUCGCAUGAACAACGCUUAAAAGAUGGCUUCUCGCUAUCACUUCUGGAUGGACCUGCGGUGCAUUAGCUUGUUGGUGGGGUAACGGCCUACCAAGGCGAUGAUGCAUAGCCGAGUUGAGAGACUGAUCGGCCACAAUGGGACUGAGACACGGCCCAUACUCCUACGGGAGGCAGCAGUAGGGAAUCUUCCACAAUGGGCGCAAGCCUGAUGGAGCAACACCGCGUGAGUGAAGAAGGGUUUCGGCUCGUAAAGCUCUGUUGUUAAAGAAGAACACGUAUGAGAGUAACUGUUCAUACGUUGACGGUAUUUAACCAGAAAGUCACGGCUAACUACGUGCCAGCAGCCGCGGUAAUACGUAGGUGGCAAGCGUUAUCCGGAUUUAUUGGGCGUAAAGAGAGUGCAGGCGGUUUUCUAAGUCUGAUGUGAAAGCCUUCGGCUUAACCGGAGAAGUGCAUCGGAAACUGGAUAACUUGAGUGCAGAAGAGGGUAGUGGAACUCCAUGUGUAGCGGUGGAAUGCGUAGAUAUAUGGAAGAACACCAGUGGCGAAGGCGGCUACCUGGUCUGCAACUGACGCUGAGACUCGAAAGCAUGGGUAGCGAACAGGAUUAGAUACCCUGGUAGUCCAUGCCGUAAACGAUGAGUGCUAGGUGUUGGAGGGUUUCCGCCCUUCAGUGCCGGAGCUAACGCAUUAAGCACUCCGCCUGGGGAGUACGACCGCAAGGUUGAAACUCAAAGGAAUUGACGGGGGCCCGCACAAGCGGUGGAGCAUGUGGUUUAAUUCGAAGCUACGCGAAGAACCUUACCAGGUCUUGACAUCUUGCGCCAACCCUAGAGAUAGGGCGUUUCCUUCGGGAACGCAAUGACAGGUGGUGCAUGGUCGUCGUCAGCUCGUGUCGUGAGAUGUUGGGUUAAGUCCCGCAACGAGCGCAACCCUUGUUACUAGUUGCCAGCAUUAAGUUGGGCACUCUAGUGAGACUGCCGGUGACAAACCGGAGGAAGGUGGGGACGACGUCAGAUCAUCAUGCCCCUUAUGACCUGGGCUACACACGUGCUACAAUGGACGGUACAACGAGUCGCGAACUCGCGAGGGCAAGCAAAUCUCUUAAAACCGUUCUCAGUUCGGACUGCAGGCUGCAACUCGCCUGCACGAAGUCGGAAUCGCUAGUAAUCGCGGAUCAGCAUGCCGCGGUGAAUACGUUCCCGGGCCUUGUACACACCGCCCGUCACACCAUGAGAGUUUGUAACACCCAAAGUCGGUGGGGUAACCUUUUAGGAGCCAGCCGCCUAAG
Molecule: ribosomal RNA, 1460 nt
Filed under: Limosilactobacillus fermentum
Lineage: Bacteria; Bacillati; Bacillota; Bacilli; Lactobacillales; Lactobacillaceae
Description: bacterial SSU rRNA
Rfam family: Bacterial small subunit ribosomal RNA
Source: RNAcentral